CCGACCUUAGCUCAGUUGGUAGAGCGGAGGACUGUAGUGUGCUGCUCAUAGCAAUCCUUAGGUCGCUGGUUCGAAUCCGGCAGGUCGGA
Molecule: transfer RNA, 89 nt
Organism: Nicotiana attenuata
Lineage: Eukaryota; Viridiplantae; Streptophyta; Magnoliopsida; Solanales; Solanaceae
Rfam family: tRNA
About the family: Transfer RNA (tRNA) molecules are approximately 80 nucleotides in length.
Source: Rfam